AAACGGGAGCAGACUAACAGGAUUCCCCUAGUAACUGCGAGUGAAGCGGGAAAAGCUCAAAUUUAAAAUCUGGCGGUCUUUGGCUGUCCGAGUUGUAAUCUAGAGAAGUGCUAUCCGCGCUGGACCGUGUACAAGUCUCCUGGAACGGAGCGUCAUAGAGGGUGAGAAUCCCGUCUUUGACACGGACUACCAGGGCUUUGUGAUGUGCUCUCAAAGAGUCGAGUUGUUUGGGAAUGCAGCUCUAAAUGGGUGGUAAAUUCCAUCUAAAGCUAAAUAUUGGCGAGAGACCGAUAGCGAACAAGUACCGUGAGGGAAAGAUGAAAAGAACUUUGGAAAGAGAGUUAAACAGUACGUGAAAUUGUUGAAAGGGAAACGCUUGAAGUCAGUCGCGUUGGCUGGGGAUCAACCUUGCUCUUUUGCUUGGUGUACUUUCCAGUUGACGGGUCAGCAUCAAUUUUGACCGGUGGAUAAAGGUCAGGGGAAUGUGGCAUCCUCGGAUGUGUUAUAGCCCUUGGUUGCAUACAUCGGUUGGGAUUGAGGAACUCAGCACGCCGCAAGGCCGGGUCUUUGACCACGUACGUGCUUAGGAUGCUGGCAUAAUGGCUUUAAUCGACCCGUCUUGAAAG
Molecule: ribosomal RNA, 626 nt
Filed under: Collybia mongolica
Lineage: Eukaryota; Fungi; Basidiomycota; Agaricomycetes; Agaricales; Clitocybaceae
Description: eukaryotic LSU rRNA
Rfam family: Eukaryotic large subunit ribosomal RNA
Source: RNAcentral